CCCCUCUGGGUAACCAAAGGGGAAUUCUUAGUGGCGAACGGGUGAGUAACACGUGAGAAACCUGCCCCGGAGAUCGGGAUAGCCCAGGGAAACCUGGAUUAAUACCGAAUACCCUCGAAUGGUCGCAUGUCCGAUCGAGGAAAUGGUCCGCUGCUCCGGGAUGGUCUCGCGUCCUAUCAGCUAGUUGGUGAGGUAACGGCUCACCAAGGCAACGACGGGUAGCUGGUCUGAGAGGACGAUCAGCCACACUGGGACUGAGACAUGGCCCAGACUCCUACGGGAGGCAGCAGCAGGGAAUUUUGCACAAUGGGCGCAAGCCUGAUGCAGCGACGCCGCGUGGGGGAUGAAUGCCUUCGGGUUGUAAACCCCUUUCAGGAGGGACGAAGCGAAAGUGACGGUACCUCCAGAAGAAGCACCGGCUAACUACGUGCCAGCAGCCGCGGUAAUACGUAGGGUGCGAGCGUUAAUCGGAAUUACUGGGCGUAAAGCGUGCGCAGGCGGUUUCGCAAGUCAGACGUGAAAGCCCCGAGCUUAACUUGGGAAUUGCGUUUGAAACUACGAGGCUGGAGUGUGGCAGAGGGAGAUGGAAUUCCACGUGUAGCGGUGAAAUGCGUAGAGAU
Molecule: ribosomal RNA, 620 nt
Filed under: uncultured microorganism
Description: bacterial SSU rRNA
Rfam family: Bacterial small subunit ribosomal RNA
Source: RNAcentral